GCCGGUAGACGAGCGGACAGGCCGAGCCGCACAGCAGCGGGAGCAGCGCAGGCGCCGCAGCCCCACCUGCAUUGGCGGCGGCGGAAAGCCCCGCCCGCCAUGUUGGCCCGCCCCGCGCUGCUCGCCGCUGUGAGCCCGAGGGCGGCCUGGGCUCUUGGAGGUUUGUCUCCUGCGUGGGUUGUUUUGUCCCGGAGUGGUACGUUGUAGAUGAGAGGCUCAUAGAAAUGCCCCCGAGCCAACGUGCUAACAGGGGCUUCAGUGCAGUGUUACACCCACCGAUACAGAGCUGCUGCACUGUUAGCCAUCUGGAAGGGGAUGUGCACAAGAACAGUUACCAGCACUGCGCUCAAAGAAAGGCAAAGAAGCAGACCUGCUUGAGGACAGCUGCAGCUUUUGCAGUCCUUGCAUUCCAUCAAGGAUGUGAGUAG
Molecule: long non-coding RNA, 428 nt
Organism: Numida meleagris (helmeted guineafowl)
Lineage: Eukaryota; Metazoa; Chordata; Aves; Galliformes; Numididae
Source: Ensembl